GUAGGUGAACCUGCGGAAGGAUCAUUACCGAGUUCAUGCCCUUCGGGGUAGAUCUCCCGCCCUUUGUAUACCAUACCUCUGUUGCUUUGGCGGGCCGCCUAGCUACUGGCUCCGGCUGGUAAGUGCCCGCCAGAGGACCCAAAACCCUGAAAUUAAUGUCGUCUGAGUAAAGAGUUUAAUAUUUAAAACUUUCAACAACGGAUCUCUUGGCUCUG
RNAcentral lists this unclassified non-coding RNA (215 nucleotides) under rhizosphere metagenome. RNAcentral describes it as "partial ribosomal RNA internal transcribed spacer region". The record is from RNAcentral.